GCGCUGAGUUCGGCAGCACAUACACUGAAGUUGGACCGGUACAGAGAAGACCAAUGUGGCCCCUGCUGAUGGGAGAGAGGCAAAUUCAUGAAGAGUUCCAUACUUUU
Molecule: small nuclear RNA, 107 nt
Organism: Acomys russatus (golden spiny mouse)
Lineage: Eukaryota; Metazoa; Chordata; Mammalia; Rodentia; Muridae
Source: RefSeq, a predicted model, not a curated record